GAUGAAGAACGUAGCGAAAUGCGAUAAGUAAUGUGAAUUGCAGAAUUCAGUGAAUCAUCGAAUCUUUGAACGCACAUUGCGCCCGCCAGUAUUCUGGCGGGCAUGCCUGUUCGAGCGUCAUUUCAACCAUCAAGCCCCCGGCUUGUGUUGGGGACCUGCGGCUGCCGCAGGCCCUGAAAUGCAGUGGCGGGCUCGCUGUCACUUCGAGCGUAGUAGUUACAUCUCGCUCUGGGCGUGCUGCGGGUUCCGGCCGUUAAAAGCCUUAUUUACCCAAGGUUGACCUCGGAUCAGGUAGGAAGACCCGCUGAACUUAAGCAUAUCAAUAAGCGGAGGA
Molecule: unclassified non-coding RNA, 334 nt
Filed under: soil metagenome
Description: partial contains 5.8S ribosomal RNA, internal transcribed spacer 2, and large subunit ribosomal RNA
Rfam family: 5.8S ribosomal RNA (bases 1-120)
Source: RNAcentral